This 450-nucleotide ribosomal RNA is filed under the name uncultured bacterium. RNAcentral's name for it is "bacterial SSU rRNA". It matches the Rfam family "Bacterial small subunit ribosomal RNA", at positions 331 to 795 of the family's 1533-position model. The record is from RNAcentral.
CCAGACUCCUACGGGAGGCAGCAGUGGGGAAUAUUGGGCAAUGGGCGCAAGCCUGACCCAGCAACGCCGCGUGAAGGAAGAAGGCCCUCGGGUUGUAAACUUCUUUUGUCAGGGACGAAGCAAGUGACGGUACCUGACGAAUAAGCCACGGCUAACUACGUGCCAGCAGCCGCGGUAAUACGUAGGUGGCAAGCGUUAUCCGGAUUUACUGGGUGUAAAGGGCGUGUAGGCGGGGAAGCAAGUCAGAUGUGAAAUUCCAGGGCUCAACCCUGGAACUGCAUUUGAAACUGUUUUUCUUGAGUGAUGGAGAGGCAGGCGGAAUUCCGUGUGUAGCGGUGAAAUGCGUAGAUAUACGGAGGAACACCAGUGGCGAAGGCGGCCUGCUGGACAUUAACUGACGCUGAGGCACGAAGGCCAGGGGAGCGAAAGGGAUUAGAUACCCUUGUAUUC